UGCUGACAGGGUGCAGGAAGUUAACAAGAUGGCCCCAAGUCCUUUCAGCCUCCUUCACAGAGCUCUGUGCAGACCACAGUUUGUUGGAGUUCUCCAAACAGUCUUGUUCAUGCUCCUGAAUGUGCUGGCUGACCUGGAGCCAAGACCAGUGGUAGAAUGAAUAUACCUGAUGCCAUCUAUGAAGAAAAUCUUGUACUUCUCACUUUAUAGAAGAUACCGAAGCUCAAAGAGCUCAGGCCGCUGCAAGAAGAUGCAAAUGAGUAAGAACCCAUUACUUGAAAUUUGAAGGAACAUUAAAAGCCUGGCAUGGAAAGCCUGGAGGAGCCAACCCUGCCAGGGAGUAAGGAGCUUGUCUGCGCAGGGGCCCCUCCCAGCAGCACCAUCUGUCGCAUGCUCAGAGCCUCCUCAGCACCUGCUCCUGCUCCAAGGCCACCAAAGUGAUUGUCAGAAAACAACAGAGUAACUCCCCCUGCACACAACUCUCAAGGUCUCCCCAUUGCCUACAGUAAAGAAAGAAAAAGAAAAAAGGCCAAGCUCUCUGGCAUGACACAUAUGCUACGUAGUCCACUCCAGCCUGAGUCUCACCUCCUCG
Long non-coding RNA from Artibeus jamaicensis (Jamaican fruit-eating bat), 592 nucleotides. RefSeq lists it as uncharacterized. The transcript is spliced from 3 exons. The record is from RefSeq and is a predicted model, not a curated record. NCBI's taxonomy places the organism in Eukaryota, Metazoa, Chordata, Mammalia, Chiroptera, Phyllostomidae.